This 460-nucleotide unclassified non-coding RNA is filed under the name uncultured Basidiomycota. RNAcentral describes it as "sequence contains 5.8S rRNA gene, ITS2, 28S rRNA gene". Lineage: Eukaryota; Fungi; Basidiomycota. The record is from RNAcentral.
AACGCACAUUGCACCCUUUGGUUCUUACCAAAGGGUAUGCCUGUUUGAGAAUCGUAUUACCAUCCUAAGCCUAUUCCGCUCGCUGUAAAAAGCUGGCAAUGGGCUUGGGGAGUUGAGGCCUCAACCGAUCAACGGCAACGUCGACUGGUUAGCCUUUAAAUUGAGGGUUUGCGCCGGGUCAGUCAUUCAAGUCAGACCGGUUCUAGGGCUCUGUGUGGUAAGGUGUGUCAGCUAGACAACGCCAAUAGCACUUUGCCCGCUCUCUCUAUCGCUGCGUCGCCGUCAGGUGUGCGUGCCGAUCGAGGGGACCGAUUCUGACGACCAACCUGGACAAAGACCACAACCGAGAUGCACUCGUGUCUCACUCGGCGAUCAUCACUGAUGACCAACUUCUCGUUCGUCAUCAGAUGCGCGCUGGUCUCAUGAUCUCAAAUCAGGCAAGACUACCCGCUGAACUUAA